GACGAACGCUGGCGGCGUGCUUAACACAUGCAAGUCGAACGGAAAGGCCUGCUUUCCCUUGUGUGUUGCGGGUACUCGAGUGGCGAACGGGUGAGUAACACGUGAGUUAUCUGUCCCCAACUUGUGUAUAAGCCUGGGAAACUGGGUCUAAUUCCCGCUAGGACUGCAGGGUGGUGCCGGUGGUUGAAAACGAUUUUGUAGUGGUGGGGGAUGAGCUCGCGGCGUAUCGGCUUGUUGGUGGGGUAAUGGCCUACCAAGGCGGCGACGGGUAGCCGGCCUGGGAGGGGGACCGGCCACAUUGGGACGGAGAUGCGGCCCAGACUCCGACGGGAGGCAGCAGGGGGGAAGAGGGCACAAGGGGCGGAAGCCUGAUGCAGCAACGCCGCGUGCGGGAUGACGGCCUUCGGGUGGGAAACCGCUAUCGCCUGUGACGAAGCGUGAGUGACGGUAAUGGGUGAAGAAGCACCGGCUAACUACGUG
RNAcentral lists this ribosomal RNA (480 nucleotides) under uncultured bacterium. RNAcentral describes it as "partial 16S ribosomal RNA". It matches the Rfam family "Bacterial small subunit ribosomal RNA", at positions 28 to 507 of the family's 1533-position model. The record is from RNAcentral.